CCCUUAGAUGUUCUGGGCCGCACGCGCGCUACACUGAUGCAUUCAACGAGUAAUCUUUGACCUUGGUCGACAGAUCUGGGUAAUCUUUUGAAAUUGCAUCGUGAUGGGGCUUGCGGGUUGCAAUUACCCGCACCAACGAGGAAUUCCUAGUAAACGCAAGUCAUCAACUUGCAUUGAUUACGUCCCUGCCCUUUGUACACACCGCCCGUCGCUCCUACCGAUUGAAUGUUCCGAUGAAUACCAUGGACUGAGAGUAUGAAUGGGUUCGCCUAUUUCUGCUUCUCGGGAAGUGGAGUAAAUCUUAACAUUUAGAGGAAGGAGAAGUCGUAACA
This 332-nucleotide ribosomal RNA is filed under the name uncultured eukaryote. Its description in RNAcentral is "partial 18S ribosomal RNA". It matches the Rfam family "Eukaryotic small subunit ribosomal RNA", at positions 1470 to 1796 of the family's 1831-position model. The record is from RNAcentral.